RNAcentral lists this ribosomal RNA (414 nucleotides) under uncultured prokaryote. RNAcentral describes it as "bacterial SSU rRNA". It matches the Rfam family "Bacterial small subunit ribosomal RNA", at positions 505 to 918 of the family's 1533-position model. The record is from RNAcentral.
GUGUCAGCAGCCGCGGUAAUACGGAGGGGGCUAGCGUUGUUCGGAAUUACUGGGCGUAAAGCGCGCGUAGGCGGUUUGCCAAGUCAGAGGUGAAAGCCCGGGGCUUAACCUCGGAAUUGCCUUUGAGACUGGCAGGCUUGAGUACGGGAGAGGUAAGUGGAAUUCCGAGUGUAGAGGUGAAACUCGUAGAUAUUCGGAAGAACACCAGUGGCGAAGGCGGCUUACUGGACCGUUACUGACGCUGGGGCGCGAAAGCGUGGGGAGCAAACAGGAUUAGAUACCCUGGUAGUCCACGCCGUAAACGAUGGGUGCUAGAUGUUGGGGGCCUUUGGCUUCCGGUGUCGCAGCUAACGCGUUAAGCACCCCGCCUGGGGAGUACGGCCGCAAGGUUAAAACUCAAAUGAAUUGGCGGGG